This 400-nucleotide ribosomal RNA is filed under the name uncultured bacterium. RNAcentral describes it as "bacterial SSU rRNA". It matches the Rfam family "Bacterial small subunit ribosomal RNA", at positions 355 to 769 of the family's 1533-position model. The record is from RNAcentral.
UGGGGAAUUUUCCGCAAUGGGCGAAAGCCUGACGGAGCAAUACCGCGUGAGGGAAGAAGGCUCUUGGGUUGUAAACCUCUUUUCUUAGGGAAGAACAAAAUGACGGUACCUAAGGAAUCAGCAUCGGCUAACUCCGUGCCAGCAGCCGCGGUAAUACGGAGGAUGCAAGCGUUAUCCGGAAUGAUUGGGCGUAAAGCGUCCGCAGGUGGCACUUCAAGUCGAUUGUCAAAGGUCUUGGCUCAACCAAGAAAAGGCAGUGGAAACUGAAGGGCUAGAGUGCGGUAGGGGUAGAGGGAAUUCCCGGUGUAGCGGUGAAAUGCGUAGAGAUCGGGAAGAACACCAGUGGCGAAAGCGCUCUACUAAACCGCAACUGACACUCAGGGACGAAAGCUAGGGGAGC